Molecule: small RNA, 82 nt
Filed under: Algibacter luteus
Lineage: Bacteria; Pseudomonadati; Bacteroidota; Flavobacteriia; Flavobacteriales; Flavobacteriaceae
Description: Arenitalea lutea Flavo-1 RNA
Rfam family: Flavo-1 RNA
Source: Rfam by way of RNAcentral
AGAUAGCUGCGUUAGGGAUUGCAGUGGAAAUCCUUUUUGUGAGGCACGAAUAAAAAGAUUGUAAUGUAAAGCCCGCCCCUUG